RNAcentral lists this ribosomal RNA (536 nucleotides) under uncultured archaeon. RNAcentral's name for it is "bacterial SSU rRNA". It matches the Rfam family "Archaeal small subunit ribosomal RNA", at positions 463 to 997 of the family's 1478-position model. The record is from RNAcentral.
AGCCGCGGUAACACCGGCGGCCCGAGUGGUGAUCGUGGUUAUUGGGUCUAAAGGGUCCGUAGCCGGUUUGGUCAGUCCUCCGGGAAAUCUGAUAGCUCAACUAUUAGGCUUUCGGGGGAUACUGCCAGACUUGGAACCGGGAGAGGUAAGAGGUACUACAGGGGUAGGAGUGAAAUCUUGUAAUCCCUGUGGGACCACCUGUGGCGAAGGCGUCUUACCAGAACGGGUUCGACGGUGAGGGACGAAAGCUGGGGGCACGAACCGGAUUAGAUACCCGGGUAGUCCCAGCCGUAAACGAUGCUCGCUAGGUGUCAGGCAUGGCGCGACCGUGUCUGGUGCCGCAGGGAAGCCGUGAAGCGAGCCACCUGGGAAGUACGGCCGCAAGGCUGAAACUUAAAGGAAUUGGCGGGGGAGCACAACAACGGGUGGAGCCCUGCGGUUUAAUUGGACUCAACGCCGGACAACUCACCGGGGGCGACAGCAAUAUGUAGGCCAAGCUGAAGACUUUGCCUGAAUCGCUGAGAAGAGGUGCAUGG